GCCUUCGUGAUAUAACGGUUAGCAAACUCGGCUGGUAUUCGAGAGGUUCAGGUUCGAAUUCCGGUGAUGGCA
Molecule: transfer RNA, 72 nt
Filed under: Stegodyphus mimosarum
Lineage: Eukaryota; Metazoa; Arthropoda; Arachnida; Araneae; Eresidae
Rfam family: tRNA
About the family: Transfer RNA (tRNA) molecules are approximately 80 nucleotides in length. Their secondary structure includes four short double-helical elements and three loops (D, anti-codon, and T loops). Further hydrogen bonds mediate the characteristic L-shaped molecular structure. tRNAs have two regions of fundamental functional importance: the anti-codon, which is responsible for specific mRNA codon recognition, and the 3' end, to which the tRNAs corresponding amino acid is attached (by aminoacyl-tRNA synthetases). tRNAs cope with the degeneracy of the genetic code in two manners: having more than one tRNA (with a specific anti-codon) for a particular amino acid; and 'wobble' base-pairing, i.e. permitting non-standard base-pairing at the 3rd anti-codon position.
Source: Rfam by way of RNAcentral